RNAcentral lists this ribosomal RNA (1106 nucleotides) under Bacillus sp. PSBN- B4. RNAcentral describes it as "bacterial SSU rRNA". It matches the Rfam family "Bacterial small subunit ribosomal RNA", at positions 161 to 1253 of the family's 1533-position model. The record is from RNAcentral. Lineage: Bacteria; Bacillati; Bacillota; Bacilli; Caryophanales; Bacillaceae.
AACUAUUACCGGAUGGAUGUUUGAACCGCAUGGUUCAAACAUAAAAGGUGGCUUCGGCUACCACUUACAGAUGGACCCGCGGCGCAUUAGCUAGUUGGUGAGGUAACGGCUCACCAAGGCGACGAUGCGUAGCCGACCUGAGAGGGUGAUCGGCCACACUGGGACUGAGACACGGCCCAGACUCCUACGGGAGGCAGCAGUAGGGAAUCUUCCGCAAUGGACGAAAGUCUGACGGAGCAACGCCGCGUGAGUGAUGAAGGUUUUCGGAUCGUAAAGCUCUGUUGUUAGGGAAGAACAAGUACCGUUCGAAUAGGGCGGUACCUUGACGGUACCUAACCAGAAAGCCACGGCUAACUACGUGCCAGCAGCCGCGGUAAUACGUAGGUGGCAAGCGUUGUCCGGAAUUAUUGGGCGUAAAGGGCUCGCAGGCGGUUUCUUAAGUCUGAUGUGAAAGCCCCCGGCUCAACCGGGGAGGGUCAUUGGAAACUGGGGAACUUGAGUGCAGAAGAGGAGAGUGGAAUUCCACGUGUAGCGGUGAAAUGCGUAGAGAUGUGGAGGAACACCAGUGGCGAAGGCGACUCUCUGGUCUGUAACUGACGCUGAGGAGCGAAAGCGUGGGGAGCGAACAGGAUUAGAUACCCUGGUAGUCCACGCCGUAAACGAUGAGUGCUAAGUGUUAGGGGGUUUCCGCCCCUUAGUGCUGCAGCUAACGCAUUAAGCACUCCGCCUGGGGAGUACGGUCGCAAGACUGAAACUCAAAGGAAUUGACGGGGGCCCGCACAAGCGGUGGAGCAUGUGGUUUAAUUCGAAGCAACGCGAAGAACCUUACCAGGUCUUGACAUCCUCUGACAAUCCUAGAGAUAGGACGUCCCCUUCGGGGGCAGAGUGACAGGUGGUGCAUGGUUGUCGUCAGCUCGUGUCGUGAGAUGUUGGGUUAAGUCCCGCAACGAGCGCAACCCUUGAUCUUAGUUGCCAGCAUUCAGUUGGGCACUCUAAGGUGACUGCCGGUGACAAACCGGAGGAAGGUGGGGAUGACGUCAAAUCAUCAUGCCCCUUAUGACCUGGGCUACACACGUCCUACAAUGCACAGUACAAGAGAUCUUCGA